This 317-nucleotide ribosomal RNA is filed under the name uncultured bacterium. RNAcentral's name for it is "partial 16S ribosomal RNA". It matches the Rfam family "Bacterial small subunit ribosomal RNA", at positions 1 to 275 of the family's 1533-position model. The record is from RNAcentral.
ACUACCGUACUCCGAAUGCAUCNCAGAUUAUUNGUUUGAUCAUGGCUCAGAUUGAACGCUAGCGGGAUGCCUUACACAUGCAAGUCGAACGGCAGCACGGACUUCGGUCUGGUGGCGAAGUGGCGAACGGGUGAGUAAUGUAUCGGAGCGUGCCCAGUAGCGGGGGAUAACUACGCGAAAUGCCGUAGCUAAUUACCGCAUACGCCCUUACUGGGGUGCAAAGCCAGGGUGAUCUGCUAAAGACCUUGCACUAUUGGAGCUGGCCUGAUAUCGGAUUACGCUAGUUGUGUGGGUGUAACUGUGCUCACCAAAAGGCA